CGAACGAAGCCUUCGGGCUUAGUGGCGGACGGGUUAGUAACGCGUGGGAACGUGCCCUUCACUACGGAAUAGUCCUGGGAAACUGGGUUCAAUACCGUAUACGCCCUUCGGGGGAAAGAUUUAUCGGUGAAGGAUCGGCCCGCGUUAGAUUAGAUAGUUGGUGGGGUAAUGGCCUACCAAGUCUACGAUCUAUAGCUGGUUUUAGAGGAUGAUCAGCAACACUGGGACUGAGACACGGCCCAG
RNAcentral lists this ribosomal RNA (243 nucleotides) under uncultured bacterium. RNAcentral's name for it is "partial 16S ribosomal RNA". It matches the Rfam family "Bacterial small subunit ribosomal RNA", at positions 63 to 334 of the family's 1533-position model. The record is from RNAcentral.